RNAcentral lists this ribosomal RNA (326 nucleotides) under uncultured bacterium. RNAcentral describes it as "bacterial SSU rRNA". It matches the Rfam family "Bacterial small subunit ribosomal RNA", at positions 29 to 355 of the family's 1533-position model. The record is from RNAcentral.
AUUGAACGCUGGCGGCAUGCUUUACACAUGCAAGUCGAGCGGCAGCGCGGGGGUAACCCCUGGCGGCGAGCGGCGGACGGGUGAGUAAUGCAUCGGAACGUAUCCCGUAGUGGGGGACAACCCAGCGAAAGCUGGGCUAAUACCGCAUAUGCUCUACGGAGGAAAGUGGGGGACCUGAAAGGGCCUCACGCUAUGGGAGCGGCCGAUGUCCGAUUAGCUAGUUGGUGGGGUAAAGCUACCAAGGCGACGAUCGGUAGCUGGUCUGAGAGGAUGAUCAGCCACACUGGGACUGAGACACGGCCCAGACUCCUACGGGAGGCAGCAGU